CGCGUAGGCGGUCUUGCAAGUCCUGUGUGAAAUCCCUCGGCUCAACUGAGGAACUGCACAGGAAACUGCUUGGCUUGAGUUCGGGAGAGGGAAGCGGAAUUCCGGGUGUAGCGGUGAAAUGCGUAGAUAUCCGGAGGAACACCGGUGGCGAAGGCGGCUUCCUGGACCGACACUGACGCUGAGGCGCGAAAGCUAGGGAGCAAACG
Molecule: ribosomal RNA, 206 nt
Filed under: uncultured bacterium
Lineage: Bacteria
Description: partial 16S ribosomal RNA
Rfam family: Bacterial small subunit ribosomal RNA
Source: RNAcentral